CCUACGGGAGGCAGCAGUGGGGAAUAUUGGGCAAUGGAGGAAACUCUGACCCAGCAACGCCGCGUGAAUGAUGAAGGUCUUCGGAUUGUAAAGUUCUUUUCUAAGGGAAGAAGAAAGUGACGGUACCUUAGGAAUAAGCCUCGGCUAACUACGUGCCAGCAGCCGCGGUAAUACGUAGGAGGCGAGCGUUAUCCGGAAUGACUGGGCGUAAAGGGUGCGUAGGUGGUAUGGCAAGUUAGUAGCGAAACUCCAGGGCUCAACCUUGGAACUACUACUAAAACUGUUGGACUUGAGUGCAGGAGAGGAAACCGGAAUUCCUAGUGUAGCGGUGGAAUGCGUAGAUAUUAGGAGGAACACCAGUGGCGAAGGCGAGUUGCUGGACUGUAACUGACACUGAGGCACGAAAGCGUGGGGAGCAAACAGGAUUAGAUACCCCUGUAGUC
Molecule: ribosomal RNA, 443 nt
Filed under: uncultured bacterium
Lineage: Bacteria
Description: partial 16S ribosomal RNA
Rfam family: Bacterial small subunit ribosomal RNA
Source: RNAcentral